CACGGCGGGUGCUAACGUCCGUCGUGAAGAGGGAAACAACCCAGACCGCCAGCUAAGGUCCCAAAGUCAUGGUUAAGUGGGAAACGAUGUGGGAAGGCCCAGACAGCCAGGAUGUUGGCUUAGAAGCAGCCAUCAUUUAAAGAAAGCGUAAUAGCUCACUGGUCGAGUCGGCCUGCGCGGAAGAUGUAACGGGGCUAAACCAUGCACCGAAGCUGCGGCAGCGACACUCAGGUGUUGUUGGGUA
This 244-nucleotide ribosomal RNA is filed under the name Salmonella enterica. RNAcentral's name for it is "partial 23S ribosomal RNA". It matches the Rfam family "Bacterial large subunit ribosomal RNA", at positions 987 to 1230 of the family's 2925-position model. Lineage: Bacteria; Pseudomonadati; Pseudomonadota; Gammaproteobacteria; Enterobacterales; Enterobacteriaceae. The record is from RNAcentral.